This 401-nucleotide ribosomal RNA is filed under the name uncultured prokaryote. RNAcentral's name for it is "bacterial SSU rRNA". It matches the Rfam family "Bacterial small subunit ribosomal RNA", at positions 355 to 774 of the family's 1533-position model. The record is from RNAcentral.
UGGGGAAUAUUGCACAAUGGGGGGAACCCUGAUGCAGCAACGCCGCGUGAGUGAUGACGGCCUUCGGGUUGUAAAGCUCUGUCUUCAGGGACGAUAAUGACGGUGCCUGAGGAGGAAGCCACGGCUAACUACGUGCCAGCAGCCGCGGUAAUACGUAGGUGGCGAGCGUUGUCCGGAUUCCUUGGGCGUAAAGCGCGCGUAGGCGGUCUGUUAGGUCAGGAGUCAAAUCCGGGGGCUCAACCCCCGUUCGCUUCUGAUACCGGCAGACUUGAGUUUGGUAGGGGAAGGUGGAAUUCCCAGUGUAGCGGUGGAAUGCGCAGAUAUUGGGAAGAACACCGGUGGCGAAGGCGGCCUUCUGGGCCAUAACUGACGCUGAGGCGCGAAAGCUAGGGGAGCGAACA